GUAAGGAAUAUUGGUCAAUGGAGGCAACUCUGAACCAGCCAUGCCGCGUGCAGGAAGACGGCCCUCUGGGUUGUAAACUGCUUUUAUCCGGGAAUAAACCUGCCUUCGUGAAGGUAGCUGAAUGUACCGGAAGAAUAAGGAUCGGCUAACUCCGUGCCAGCAGCCGCGGUAAUACGGAGGAUCCAAGCGUUAUCCGGAUUUAUUGGGUUUAAAGGGUGCGUAGGCGGCCUGUUAAGUCAGGGGUGAAAGACGGUGGCUCAACCAUCGCAGUGCCCUUGAUACUGAUGGGCUUGAAUGGACUAGAGGUAGGCGGAAUGUGACAAGUAGCGGUGAAAUGCAUAGAUAUGUCACAGAACACCGAUUGCGAAGGCAGCUUACUAUGGUCCUAUUGACGCUGAGGCACGAAAGCGUGGGGAUCGAACAGGAUUAGAAACCCUAGUAGUCC
Molecule: ribosomal RNA, 445 nt
Filed under: uncultured bacterium
Lineage: Bacteria
Description: partial 16S ribosomal RNA
Rfam family: Bacterial small subunit ribosomal RNA
Source: RNAcentral